RNAcentral lists this ribosomal RNA (253 nucleotides) under uncultured bacterium. Its description in RNAcentral is "partial 16S ribosomal RNA". It matches the Rfam family "Bacterial small subunit ribosomal RNA", at positions 524 to 776 of the family's 1533-position model. The record is from RNAcentral.
GACAGAGGGGGCAAGCGUUGCUCGGAAUUACUGGGCGUAAAGGGCGCGUAGGCGGGAUGGCAAGUCGGUCGUGAAAGCCUUCGGCUCAACCGAAGAACGUCGGCCGAUACUGCCGUUCUUGAGGGAUGCAGAGGAGACUGGAAUUCCCGGUGUAGCGGUGAAAUGUGUAGAGAUCGGGAAGAACACCCGUGGCGAAAGCGGCUCUCUGGAACGGUACUGACGCUGAGACGCGAAAGCGUGGGGAGCGAACAGG